RNAcentral lists this long non-coding RNA (1210 nucleotides) under Manihot esculenta (cassava). Its description in RNAcentral is "long non-coding RNA (MESC_LNC010103)". The record is from RNAcentral. Lineage: Eukaryota; Viridiplantae; Streptophyta; Magnoliopsida; Malpighiales; Euphorbiaceae.
CCCGGCUAGAUCCCAGCAUCGAAACCCCGACUUCACGGCGGAAUCUCCAUUGGAAUCUGGAAUUUCUGGGAAUGCCAGAGUCUUCUAGAGGGUUAAAAUGUGUUUUCUAAAAUGUUUUCACAUGAUUUUAUGGUUUUAAAAUGGAAAAGAAAUUGAGUUUUGAAAAGAGUAGGCUAAGGAGGCAUUUGCCAGGUUCAGCCGCCGAAAGUCAAGUUCGGCCGUCGAACAUGGGGCUGUUUCGGGAGUGCUUUAGGCUUCCGAAAGUGUGAGGGCAGAAACCAUGUUCGGCCGUCGAACCUCAAGUUCGACCGCCGAACAUGCAUGAGUUUAGGAGGCACGUUAGGCUGCCGAAGGUAGUCGACCAGGCCACCUAUAAAAGGCCCUCAGACCGAAAAUGGGCGAGUUUUCUCCCCAUUCUCGAGCUCAGGUGUGUUCAUGUCCGCUACUAGUCAUUUUCAGGCUCUUUCUUCAAAUCCUUUACGAUUUAUAAGCUACAUGGUUGUUUUGAAGAGUUUUAAAGCUUGGAUCAAGGUUUGGAGAGCUUGGAGACUUCAAGGGCUUGGGUUCUCCAUAUCUCAAACUUUGGGUCGCACCAACCCUCGAUCUUCAAGAGGUAAGUGUAGAUCUAUGCUUCAUUUAUGUUUUAAAGAAGUUUUAAGCAAGUUUGAAGAUGUUUUGAUGGCUGAGUAUGGGUAGAUAUGCAUGUUAGGGUUUAUGUGGGUUUUAUGCCCAAUGUAUGUUUAUGUGAUGUGUUUGAGCUAGUUUAUGCAUGUGGGAGAGUGUAUGCAUAUUUGGGAAAGAGCAAGUGAGAUUGUGGGAUGUUUUGGUGGUUUUGGCCCAUGUGGGUCAUAAGCUACCUAUGUAUGCUUUUGAUGUUGUUUUUGGAGUUUAAUCUAGUUGUUAAGCUCCUUUAUGCAUGACUAGGGUUUAUGCUUGGUUUUGAGAAGUUUAGGCUUGUUUUGAGAGGUUGGGAGGCUUGUAUGCACAAGGGCUGAGUUCUGGAAGAACUCAGGUUCGGCCGCCGAAGGUGGUUUCGGCCGCCGAACCUGCCUAUAGAUGCAUGGAUUGGCCGCCAAACCUUGCCCCCAAAAGUUGUGUUUCGGAGCUGGAGCAGACUUUCGGCCGCCGAAGGUGAUGUUCGGCCACCGAAAGUGCCUGACUUUCGUCUCUGGAGAGAAGGUUCGGCCGCCGAAGGUGCCUCCUAACCUGC